RNAcentral lists this ribosomal RNA (270 nucleotides) under uncultured bacterium. RNAcentral describes it as "partial 16S ribosomal RNA". It matches the Rfam family "Bacterial small subunit ribosomal RNA", at positions 524 to 794 of the family's 1533-position model. The record is from RNAcentral.
GUCGUGUCGUACAAGCGUUGUACAAAAUGAUUGGGCGUAAAGGGUUCGUAGAUUGGGGAAAAAGUAUAAAAAGAAAUUUAGGGAAAAAUCUCUACAGUUUUUUAUAAACUCUUCUUCUUGAGGUCAAAAGGGGAAUCUGGAAUUACUAGUGGAGGGAUAAAAUCUGUUGAUAUUAGUAGGAACACCAAUGGCGAAGGCAAGAUUCUGGUUUGAUACUGACAUUGAGGAACGAAAGCACGGGGAGCAAGAAGGAUUAGAUACCCGAGUAGU